AGGAAUGUAUUCGAUCUAUAUACAAAUUAAUUAUUUUUUAUAUAUACGUUUUUUUGUUGGGUCGACCACUUAUUUCCCCGCGAUAAGUAUUGUAUAGUGCUAUAUGUCUCCGAAACUAUUGCCUCUAUUUAUUUGUCUCCGAGAAUAAAUUUCUAUUCCUAUUUCCUCCCAAAUAUAUAGUUCGAAACCUAUUUCUCUCCAAUCAUCGAAUUAGAUGGUUUAAUAUCAGUUUACUAUUUCAACCUAAACCAUAAACCACUUAAAGUUGAUAGUUAACCAGCUAAGAUCCAAUUAAGUUGAAAUAGUAAACCGAUAUUAAACCAUCUAAUUCGAUGAUUGUGAAGAAAUAAGCUUCGAACUAUAUAUUCGGGGGAGAAAUAGGAAUUGAACUUUAUUUUCGGGGACAAAUAGAUAGAGACAAUAGUUUCGUAGACAUAUAUCACUAUACAAUAGUUUUCGUAGGGAAGUAAACGGUGGACCCUUUUUUGUUUAAGAUUCAUUUGUACGUAUUCUCCAAUGAUACUGAUCCUGCAGAAGUCAAAUAAUU
This 547-nucleotide long non-coding RNA is filed under the name Brassica napus (rape). RNAcentral describes it as "long non-coding RNA (BNAP_LNC024790)". The record is from RNAcentral. Lineage: Eukaryota; Viridiplantae; Streptophyta; Magnoliopsida; Brassicales; Brassicaceae.